Molecule: ribosomal RNA, 504 nt
Filed under: uncultured bacterium
Lineage: Bacteria
Description: bacterial SSU rRNA
Rfam family: Bacterial small subunit ribosomal RNA
Source: RNAcentral
GAGUUUGAUCCUGGCUCAGGACGAACGCUGGCGGCGCGCCUAACACAUGCAAGUCGAACGAGAGAGAGGGAGCUUGCUUCCUCAAUCGAGUGGCGAACGGGUGAGUAACGCGUGAGGAACCUGCCUCAAAGAGGGGGACAACAGUUGGAAACGACUGCUAAUACCGCAUAAGCCCACGACCCGGCAUCGGGUUGAGGGAAAAGGAGCAAUCCGCUUUGAGAUGGCCUCGCGUCCGAUUAGCUAGUUGGUGAGGUAAUGGCCCACCAAGGCGACGAUCGGUAGCCGGACUGAGAGGUUGAACGGCCACAUUGGGACUGAGACACGGCCCAGACUCCUACGGGAGGCUGCAGUGGGGAAUAUUGCACAAUGGGGGAAACCCUGAUGCAGCGACGCCGCGUGGAGGAAGAAGGUUUUCGGAUUGUAAACUCCUGUCGUUAGGGACGAUAAUGACGGUACCUAACAAGAAAGCACCGGCUAACUACGUGCCAGCCGCCGCGGUAAUAC